This 456-nucleotide ribosomal RNA is filed under the name uncultured bacterium. RNAcentral describes it as "bacterial SSU rRNA". It matches the Rfam family "Bacterial small subunit ribosomal RNA", at positions 28 to 507 of the family's 1533-position model. The record is from RNAcentral.
GAUGAACGUUGGCGGCGUGCCUAAUACAUGCAAGUCGAACGAAGACUGUAGUAAUACUGUCUUAGUGGCGAACGGGUGAGUAACGCGUGGGUGACCUGCCCCGAAGUGUGGGAUAACAGUCCGAAAGGAUUGCUAAUACUGCAUAAUAUCCAAGAGAUUAGAUGCUUUUGGAUUAAAGGAGUAAUUCGCUUCGGGAGGGGCCCGCGUCCCAUCAGCUAGUUGUAAGGUAAUGGCUUACCAAGGCGAUGACGGGUAGGGGACCUGAGAGGGUGGCCCCCACAAUGGAACUGAAACACGGUCCAUACACCUACGGGUGGCAGCAGUAGGGAAUAUUAGUAAUGGGCGAAAGCCUGAACUAGCAACGCCGCGUGUGCGAAGAAGGCCUUCGGGUCGUAAGCACUUUUGAGAGGAUGAGGAAGGACGGUACUCUCAGAAUAAGUCUCGGCUAACUACGUG